RNAcentral lists this long non-coding RNA (399 nucleotides) under Equus asinus (donkey). Its description in RNAcentral is "lncRNA (ENSEASG00005030905.1)". Lineage: Eukaryota; Metazoa; Chordata; Mammalia; Perissodactyla; Equidae. The record is from RNAcentral.
UCUGUAGAUCUGUAUUUAUACAUCUCCAUCACCGCCUGUAGGUCUGCUUGGUAACGUGAAAGAGACGUUCGUCCAGUGCCUGAAAUACCCUUCACAGUGUGUUCCCAUUACAAGGGCUUGGGAAUAGUCACCUGAAGAGCCUGAGCUGAGACCACAUCUUGAAAACACAGAAUUGAGGGAGCAGAUGGAAGAAAGAAAGUCAGCAGGCUUGGAGGAUGAUGAUAACCCCAAGAAGAUUAAGGUGCUGGUGGAGGAGGUGGUUGGCAAAGGAGGUGAGAAUAAGGACAAGUUGAGUUCAGAGAAAUCAAGGGACACUGAGGAAUGAGUACAGCAUCCUCCACUCCUCAAGGAGCAACCUAAGCUGAGCAGUGAGGACUGGGAGAGUAACUUACUCCACAG